AACACCGAGACCCGGUGACGAGGAAUAUAAAAGGAGUUACUGGUGGUUUCAUCGUCAGUCUGUCUCUGAAAACCCUGAAGAUGAAGUUCCUAUUCGUUCUGUCGCUGAUUAUGAUGAUGGUAGUCAUCGCCACCGCAGCGCCGAGUCCUGGUGCUGGUGUGCCUGGAGUGGAUGAUAUUCCUGGAGCUGGUGAUGUUGUGAACAAGUGGAUGGCUCAAAUGCCCGGACCGCUCGGCAAGUAGCUGCCACAUGUGAAAGAGAUCAUCACAACAGACAACGCUGAUUUUUCAAAUAUUGAUAUGGUUCCUAGCAAAUAAACGUUUAUUUUAUUA
Molecule: long non-coding RNA, 332 nt
Organism: Plutella xylostella (diamondback moth)
Lineage: Eukaryota; Metazoa; Arthropoda; Insecta; Lepidoptera; Plutellidae
Source: RefSeq, a predicted model, not a curated record